RNAcentral lists this small nuclear RNA (131 nucleotides) under Chelydra serpentina (North American snapping turtle). RNAcentral's name for it is "U1 spliceosomal RNA (ENSCSRG00000013608.1)". It matches the Rfam family "U1 spliceosomal RNA", at positions 34 to 166 of the family's 166-position model. Rfam says of the family: U1 is a small nuclear RNA (snRNA) component of the spliceosome (involved in pre-mRNA splicing). Its 5' end forms complementary base pairs with the 5' splice junction, thus defining the 5' donor site of an intron. The record is from Rfam by way of RNAcentral. Lineage: Eukaryota; Metazoa; Chordata; Testudines; Chelydridae.
GAAGGUGGUUUUCCCAGGGUGAGGCUCAUCCAUUGCACUGCGGGUGUGCUGACCCCUGCGAUUUCCCCAAAUGCGGGAAACUCGACUGCAUAAUUUGUGGUAGUGGGGGACUGCGUUCGCGCUCUCCCCUG